GUGAACCAGUACCGUGAGGGAAAGGCGAAAAGAACCCCGGCGAGGGGAGUGAAAAAGAACCUGAAACCGUGUACGUACAAGCAGUGGGAGCACAGGUUUACCUGUGUGACUGCGUACCUUUUGUAUAAUGGGUCAGCGACUUAUAUUCUGUAGCAAGGUUAACCGUAUAGGGGAGCCGUAGGGAAACCGAGUCUUAACCGGGCGUUAAGUUGCAGGGUAUAGACCCGAAACCCGGUGAUCUAGCCAUGGGCAGGUUGAAGGUUGGGUAACACUAACUGGAGGACCGAACCGACUAAUGUUGAAAAAUUAGCGGAUGACCUGUGGCUGGGGGUGAAAGGCCAAUCAAACCGGGAGAUAGCUGGUUCUCCCCGAAAGCUAUUUAGGUAGCGCCUCGUGAAUUCAUCUCCGGGGGUAGAGCACUGUUUCGGCUAGGGGGCCAUCCCGGCUUACCAACCCGAUGCAAACUGCGAAUACCGGAGAAUGUUAUCACGGGAGACACACGGCGGGUGCUAACGUCCGUCGUGAAGAGGGAAACAACCCAGACCGCCAGCUAAGGUCCCAAAGUCAUGGUUAAGUGGGAAACGAUGUGGGAAGGCCCAGACAGCCAGGAUGUUGGCUUAGAAGCAGCCAUCAUUUAAAGAAAGCGUAAUAGCUCACUGGUCGAGUCGGCCUGCGCGGAAGAUGUAACGGGGCUAAACCAUGCACCGAAGCUGCGGCAGCGAACGUAUCACCCAAGACAACUUUACGGAGUUGACGAUUGACGGAGCGAAGCGACGUCAAAGCGUUCAUUAAAGUCGAGUUGGCUUAGGGAUACGUUCGUUGGGUAGGGGAGCGUUCUGUAAGCCUGUGA
RNAcentral lists this ribosomal RNA (850 nucleotides) under Salmonella enterica subsp. enterica serovar Typhimurium. Its description in RNAcentral is "partial 23S ribosomal RNA". It matches the Rfam family "Bacterial large subunit ribosomal RNA", at positions 490 to 1253 of the family's 2925-position model. Lineage: Bacteria; Pseudomonadati; Pseudomonadota; Gammaproteobacteria; Enterobacterales; Enterobacteriaceae. The record is from RNAcentral.